Triticum dicoccoides is the source of this 3810-nucleotide long non-coding RNA. RefSeq lists it as uncharacterized. The record is from RefSeq and is a predicted model, not a curated record. NCBI's taxonomy places the organism in Eukaryota, Viridiplantae, Streptophyta, Magnoliopsida, Poales, Poaceae. The transcript has 12 exons.
CCCACCCGGUCCGGUCCGGAUCCAGCCCCAACCCACCACCACCAGCUCCACUUCCCUCCGGUUUCCGCCGCCCGCCGAGGCCGUCUCCGGCAAGGACCCAGCCGGCGGCACGACCUCUACCCCGGCGGCGCGCCCGCGGCCAGGCGCGCCCUUUCCUUCCUCCCCGCGCUCCGGUCAUGGCCGGUCUGCUCCUCCUCCUCUCUUCGUCCGGGGCCCCGGGACGUGCCUAUCGCCUCCACCUCCUCGCGUCUGGUUUGGAUUCGCUCCUCCUCGAUUUGUCGCCCGUUUAGGCUUAGAACCACGCCUGAUUUGGUUUUCGCUCGUGCUUGAUUCGCCCGUUCGGAAUUGCGCCUGGUUUGAUCUUGCUCGUCCUCGCCGUCGUCCGUUUGGGGUCGCAUCCGGUUCCAUUUGGCUCCUCCUCGCCGCCGUCGUCCGUGUAGGGUCGCGUCCGUUUCGAUUCUGCUCAUCCUCGCCGUCGUCCGUUUAGAGUCGUGUCUCGUUCGAUUUUGCUCGUCCUCGCCGUCGUCCGUUUGGGGUCGCGUCUGAUUCGAUUUUGCUCGUCCUCGUCGCCGUCGUCCGUGUAGGCCGCUUCUGGUUUGAUUUCACUCGUCCUCGCCGUCAUCCGUGUAGGGUCGCGCCUAGCUCGAUUUUGCUCGUCCUCGCGGUUGUCCCAAUGCGCUCGCGUGUUCUUGGCCCGUCUCGCCUCAAUUAUGUCUGUGUGCGCUUCUUCUGUUAUCCGAACUAGCAAUUCGUCGGUUGCAGGAACAAACAGAAUGGAUCUGGUUUCGAAAUUGGAUUACGGCCGGAGACGGGGUUCGUUUAUCGUGCUAGUUCAGACCGGUUCUUCCGUCCCGUCACCUACGUUGUUCCUGGUGAUUUUCAGAACUCAAACGUAUGCUCUCCUGUGAUACUCUGUCACUUCUUGGCCCUCUGCCAGUUCUUGUUGGCCCUCUGUCAGUUCUUGUUGGCCCUCUGUCAAUUCUUGAGUUCCAGGGUCUGUUAAUUCUUGAGUUCUUGUUGUACCGGCUAGGCGUGUGUGUGCUCUCGUCCUAGAUUCAGAGAUGGGGUGAUUCCUUAUGCUUGAUCUGAUGGUGUAUACUGUUUAUGUUCUGUCCAGUUUGUUUCUUUUAUCAUGCUUUGCUUGUGUGUCCCGAGAAGAAAAGUUUUACAAGAGUGCAAACCAUGUGGCCUGCUGCUUGACUAAUUGAACACUUGCUCCUGCUACUGUUGGACAAUGUUCCUUCUUUUCUUCCCGAUGUUGCUAUUUCCUUUGAAGUACUCAUACAAGUUCUAGGUGAGCUGCUGCUAGUUAGUUCCCCUUAGACUACAUUCUAGAUUGCAUAGCAUAACUCCGGUAUUUUGUCAUUGCACACCUGGGCAUAUCUGUCGUGAGCAUAACUCCUGAAUUUAUUUAUCCAUGAAAGCACGUUCAUCACAUGUUUUUUUACCAAUGCUGCUAACUUCUGUCAUGUCCCUUUCCUUUGGACAAGAAUUUCAACGAACCUAUAACGUGGACAUGUGCUUCUUGUUUUCUUGUGAUGAUGGUGAUCCAAUAGAGUAGCCCAACUCUUAUGCUCUGACAUUUGUUAAUCCCUAGUUAGUGUGCAUGAAAAAAUAUUGUUUGUCAUGUUAAAUUGUAUGGCAUCAACUCGGUAUUGUGAUUAAUGACUUAGUAUUUGUUUAGUGUAGACAGUUGACUUCUUUUUUCUUAAGUUUUUAGUGAUAUGCGUGUUUUGUUAUGUCUUAUGGGGAUAUCAUAUUCUUUCUUUGUAUUACUAAUGUCCAGUCAAUGGAAAAUGCUUUUCUUACUUUGCCUAGACUUUGUGACAAUUAACUUAUAGUGCAAUCAUUGAUCAUUGAGCUUCUGACACCCUAUUCCGUAAAACUCUGUUGUAAUGCUUGCUGGAUCAUUAAGUAGUUAAUAUUGAUUCUGAGUUUGUUGGAUCAUUAACUUCUGCGUGCGCUUGAGUUAUCUGAGAGGCACUCACAAUCCUGUGUUUCGUAUUCGUGGCGGAGCAAUGAACGAUUACGUAUCGUAUCCCUGUGUUUUGUGUUCGCCCAUCUAAUUUUGAAUUUAGAUUACGGAGACGGGGAGAGGCCAAGGCAAGGUCAGAUUAUUGUGUUCGCUCAGAUCAGUUCCUCGGUUCCGUCACUGCGUUGUUCGUCGGCAAUUUCCAUACCUCAAACGCAUGCGCCCUUGUGAUACUCUGGUUUGGCGCACUAGUCGUUAUGGUUGUUCAUUAUGGUUGUUCUUAUGUUCUUGAAUCACCCAUCUUAUAAGCAGAGAUGGGAUGAUACAUUAUGGUUGUUCUGAUGGUUGCUUAUUUAGUGUUCUUUCCAAUCGGGUUCUUCUUGUCAUGCUUUGCUUAUGUUCCCAAUGUCUAUCUUUCCAUAUAUGGGGAUGCGUUUAGGGGUGCAAACUGUGUAGGCCAUGGUGCUUUUUAGACUAGCUAUGGUGUGUUUUAUACUAUCUGAUGUGGAAAGUGGAAUUAUUGAUAUCACUUAUGUGUUAGUAUACUUGGUAUGGUGUGUUUUAUUUAAGUAAUUAACCACAUCUCUUACAAAUUUUCCUUGAGUUACAUGUUUAUAUGGCAGGAGUGAUUGUCUUGACGAAUAAUCAUUUGUGCUAACUUGGUAUUGGUAGUUCCUGAUCGUAGGUAACAGACCAGUACUUGUUUAGUGCAGACAACUGACUAUUCUUUUUUUCUGAACUUCUUUGUGAUAUUUCUGUUAUGUGGAUAUCAUAGUCUAAUGCUUUUAUAAGUAUUUAUUAAGGUACAGACAUGUGGAUCUGGACAUUUCACAUUUGUUCUUUAUUGUGUUGCUAAGGACACUGAACGGUUUGUCUGGGCCACCGCACAGCCUAGGUAAUCAGGUUGUAGUGAUUAGGGAGAAGCUUGUAGAACUAUAUGAAUUUGAACAACAAUGGUCGAGAGCAGCACAAAUGCUUAGUGCCAUUGACUUGGACUCAGGAAUCAGGAUGCUUGAUGACAAACAAAUUAUCCAAGUGCGUCCAGAUUGCACGCCUCUAUUUGGAGGUUGAUGAUGCAGUGAAUGUUGAAGCUUUUAUCAACAAAGCCUCAUUUUUGGUCACAAACAGCAACCAGGAAGUUCUGAACUUGCAAUACAAGGUAUUGCUAUGCGAGAAUUUUAGAUCUAAAGCGUAAACUCUUGGAAGCUGCACUUCGAUACUAUGGUAUCUCUCAAAUUGAGCAACGCCAAAUUGGGGAUGAGUACAGACAUUGGAUCUGGACAUGUCACAUUGGCUCUUUAUUGUGUUGCUAAGGACACUGAUGGUUGGGUUUGCAUACAACGCAGUAUGGAGCAACAAAUUGGUCUCAUUGCAAGGUCACUACCUGGACGUAUACGCAAGCAAUGUCAAGAGAGGUGGCAUAAUCAUCUGAAUCCAGACAUACAGAGAGAUGCUUGGACUACUGAGGAGGAACAUGCACUGAAUAAUGCCCAUCGGAAUAAAUGGGUAGAAAUAGCAAAAUUUCUUCCUAGAAGACAUCUGAAUAUUGCAGGAAUGGGGUACUUACAUUUGUGUAACUUCUAUUUGUUAUCAAUUCUUCUCACCUAUAGCUAAAGCAAGACGACAAACCAGGUGAAUUAUUGGAGUUGCAAGAUACAGAGACUCAGUCAUCUUAAUCUUCUUUUGUAAAUAUGACUAUUGGUGCUGCUGGUAAGACUAUCCAUCGGCUUGUAACUCAUGAGAGGCAACCACAAUUGCCAACAUGAAACAUAUUUUUUUUAGGAACGAAGAUCUGAAUCACCCUCACCCCUCAAGAGAAAUCGUUUAGUCAUUCAGGU